RNAcentral lists this ribosomal RNA (253 nucleotides) under uncultured bacterium. RNAcentral describes it as "partial 16S ribosomal RNA". It matches the Rfam family "Bacterial small subunit ribosomal RNA", at positions 524 to 776 of the family's 1533-position model. The record is from RNAcentral.
UACGAAGGGGGCUAGCGUUGCUCGGAAUCACUGGGCGUAAAGCGCACGUAGGCGGCUUUUUAAGUCAGGGGUGAAAUCCUGGAGCUCAACUCCAGAACUGCCUUUGAUACUGAGAAGCUUGAGUCCGGGAGAGGUGAGUGGAACUGCGAGUGUAGAGGUGAAAUUCGUAGAUAUUCGGAAGAACACCAGUGGCGAAGGCGACUCACUGGACACGUAUUGACGCUGAGGUGCGAAAGCGUGGGGAGCAAACAGG